UUGGAGGAAGGUGGGGAUGACGUCAAAUCAUCAUGCCCUUUAUGACCUGGGCUACAAACGUACUACAAUGGCCAAUACAAAGAGAUGCGAAGCGGUGACGUGGAGCGAACCUCAGAAAGUUGGUCUCAGUUCAGAUUGAAGUCUGUAACUCGACUUCAUGAAGGCGGAAUCGCUAGUAAUCGCGGGUCAGCAGACCGCGGUGAAUACGUUCCCGGGUUU
This 219-nucleotide ribosomal RNA is filed under the name uncultured Mollicutes bacterium. RNAcentral describes it as "partial 16S ribosomal RNA". It matches the Rfam family "Bacterial small subunit ribosomal RNA", at positions 1163 to 1381 of the family's 1533-position model. The record is from RNAcentral. Lineage: Bacteria; Bacillati; Mycoplasmatota; Mollicutes.